AGUGGCGGACGGGUGAGUAUCGCGUGAGAAUCUGCCCAUAGGAUAGGGACAACAGUUGGAAACGACUGCUAAUACCUGAUGUGCCGAGAGGUGAAACUUUUUUGGCCUGUGGAUGAGCUCGCGUCUGAUUAGCUAGUUGGUGGGGUAAGAGCCUACCAAGGCGACGAUCAGUAGCUGGUCUGAGAGGAUGAUCAGCCACACUGGAACUGAGACACGGUCCAGACUCCUACGGGAGGCAGCAGUGGGGAAUUUUCCGCAAUGGGCGAAAGCCUGACGGAGCAAGACCGCGUGGGGGAUGAAGGUUUGUGGAUUGUAAACCCCUUUUGAUUGGGAAGAAUAACUGACGGUACCAAUCAAAUAAGCCUCGGCUAACUCCGUGCCAGCAGCCGCGGUAAUACGGAGGAGGCAAGCGUUAUCCGGAAUUAUUGGGCGUAAAGCGUCCGUAGGUGGUUUAGUAAGUCUGCUGUUAAAGCGCGGGGCUUAACUCCGUAUCGGCGGUGGAAACUACUAGACUAGAGUGUGGUAGGGGUAGAGGGAAUUCCCAGUGUAGCGGUGAAAUGCGUAGAUAUUGGGAAGAACACCGGUGGCGAAAGCGCUCUACUGGGCCAUAACUGACACUGAUGGACGAAAGCUAGGGGAGCGAAAGGGAUUAGAUACCCCUGUAGUCCUAGCCGUAAACGAUGGAGACUAGGUGUUG
Molecule: ribosomal RNA, 697 nt
Filed under: uncultured Chroococcales cyanobacterium
Lineage: Bacteria; Bacillati; Cyanobacteriota; Cyanophyceae; Chroococcales
Description: bacterial SSU rRNA
Rfam family: Bacterial small subunit ribosomal RNA
Source: RNAcentral